RNAcentral lists this ribosomal RNA (253 nucleotides) under uncultured bacterium. Its description in RNAcentral is "partial 16S ribosomal RNA". It matches the Rfam family "Bacterial small subunit ribosomal RNA", at positions 524 to 776 of the family's 1533-position model. The record is from RNAcentral.
UACGGAGGGAGCUAGCGUUGUUCGGAAUUACUGGGCGUAAAGCGCGCGUAGGCGGUUUUUUUAAGUCAGAGGUGAAAGCCCAGUGCUCAACACUGAACUGCCUUUGAAACUGGAAAACUUGAAUCUUGGAGAGGUCAGUGGAAUUCCGAGUGUAGAGGUGAAAUUCGUAGAUAUUCGGAAGAACACCAGUGGCGAAGGCGACUGACUGGACAAGUAUUGACGCUGAGGUGCGAAAGCGUGGGGAGCAAACAGG